UGGUGGGGUAAUGGCCUACCAAGGCGUCGACGGGUAGCCGGCCUGAGAGGGUGUACGGCCACAUUGGGACUGAGAUACGGCCCAGACUCCUACGGGAGGCAGCAGUGGGGAAUAUUGCACAAUGGGCGCAAGCCUGAUGCAGCGACGCCGCGUGGGGGAUGACGGCCUUCGGGUUGUAAACUCCUUUCGCCAAGGACGAAUUUUUGACGGUACUUGGAGAAGAAGCACCGGCUAACUACGUGCCAGCAGCCGCGGUAAUACGUAGGGUGCGAGCGUUGUCCGGAAUUACUGGGCGUAAAGAGCUCGUAGGUGGUUUGUCGCGUCGUUUGUGGAAUACCGCAGCUUAACUGUGGGGUUGCAGGCGAUACGGGCAUAACUUGAGUGCUGUAGGGGAGACUGGAAUUCCUGGUGUAGCGGUGAAAUGCGCAGAUAUCAGGAGGAACACCGAUGGCGAAGGCAGGUCUCUGGGCAGUAACUGACGCUGAGGAGCGAAAGCAUGGGGAGCGAACAGGAUUAGAUACCCUGGUAGUCCAUGCCGUAAACGGUGGGCGCUAGGUGUGAGUCCCUUCCACGGGGUUCGUGCCGUAGCUAACGCAUUAAGCGCCCCGCCUGGGGAGUACGGCCGCAAGGCUAAAACUCAAAGGAAUUGACGGGGGCCCGCACAAGCGGCGGAGCAUGUGGAUUAAUUCGAUGCAACGCGAAGAACCUUACCUGGGCUUGACAUACACCACAUCGGGCUAGAAAUAGUCUUUCCCUUGUGGUUGGAGUACAGGUGGUGCAUGGUUGUCGUCAGCUCGUGUCGUGAGAUGUUGGGUUAAGUCCCGCAACAAGCGCAACCCUUGUCUUAUGUUGCCAGCACAUAAUGCUGGGGACUCAUGAAAGACUGCCGGGGUUAACUCGGAGGAAGGUGGGGAUG
Molecule: ribosomal RNA, 916 nt
Filed under: Corynebacterium aquatimens
Lineage: Bacteria; Bacillati; Actinomycetota; Actinomycetes; Mycobacteriales; Corynebacteriaceae
Description: bacterial SSU rRNA
Rfam family: Bacterial small subunit ribosomal RNA
Source: RNAcentral